Molecule: non-coding RNA, 35 nt
Organism: Fukomys damarensis (Damara mole-rat)
Lineage: Eukaryota; Metazoa; Chordata; Mammalia; Rodentia; Bathyergidae
Source: Rfam
CUGUCUCUUGCUUCAACAGUGUUUGGCUGGAACAG